AGUAAUUACACCUUGUUUUAAGGAAGCCGGUAACUCCCCAUUUUCUAUUGAUUCGUGAAACAUAGCAAGAAUGAAAGGAAUCAAUUUAUCAUUGAAUGCUUUAUAAAACUCGCUUAUUAAACCAUCAUUUCCAGGGGACCUAUUGUCCUUAAGGCUUUUAAUACAGUCUUUUAUCUCAAUUUCAGGUAACUCAUCACAAAAAUCCCUGAAAUCAUUAUCUAUCUUAGCAAUGUUUGCAGCACGUCAUGCUCUUAUCAACUGAGCUACGAAGGAGCACGUCGAAGUCACUAGAAUGAUGACAAGCAAUUUUAAGGGAUUCUAAAGGGAAUCAGAAUUCCAAACUAAUUUCUAUGGCAACACAGUUGUCAAUUUUGUAAACAAUCAUUUUCGAACGUGUGUUGCCAAGAGACAUCUAACCGACGUUCUAUGGAACGUUUUCUGUGCGAAAACAACAACUUUGCUGCUGACAACAAACUUGUUUGAUUUUUGAGACCUGAGAACAAUCGACUGGAAAAUGCCUGGGUGCUUUUCAAGACUGGCGGAGAGAGUGCGUGGACGUCGGCGGCCUACUGCGUCGACAGGUUGUUCAAAUUCAUUUGUGGCUUGUUUUUCUUGUCUUUUUCUGUUUUGCAGGGUUCGUGAUCGUCGACAGGUGGACAGCGACUUCGAAGAGGAAACAACUGUCCUGGAUGAGGUCCAGUUGGAUGUGCCAUUGGAUGAUGUGCUAGAUGUUCCACAGCUGCCAGUCCUCCUUGAUGUCCAGAAUGCUGCUAUCAUCCUUGAGGAUGUGCCAGAUGUGCAGACUAUCCUUGAGGUACAAUUUUCUGAAAGUUUGGGGUUUUAUGUUUGAAAAAUAUCCCAGAUAUUCAAGUUGUGUCUCUUUAACAUGAAACACAUCUCUUGUCUGCUUUCUGCUUUAGGAGGCCACUGGCAUUUGGCAGUUGAUUCCGAUUAGGUUCAGCC
This is a long non-coding RNA of Oncorhynchus kisutch (coho salmon), 963 nucleotides long. The record is from Ensembl. Lineage: Eukaryota; Metazoa; Chordata; Actinopteri; Salmoniformes; Salmonidae.